RNAcentral lists this non-coding RNA (102 nucleotides) under Bacillus sp. (in: firmicutes). RNAcentral describes it as "Bacillus sp. Guanine sequence". It matches the Rfam family "Purine riboswitch aptamer". Rfam says of the family: Riboswitches are metabolite binding domains within certain messenger RNAs that serve as precision sensors for their corresponding targets. Lineage: Bacteria; Bacillati; Bacillota; Bacilli; Caryophanales; Bacillaceae. RNAcentral also lists the same sequence under 1 other name. The record is from RNAcentral.
AACACAACUCAAUAACGCACUCAUAUAAUGACGAGAAUAUGGCUCGUAAGUUUCUACCAAACCACCGUAAAUGGUUUGACUAUGAGUGAGCGGUGACACUUU